RNAcentral lists this long non-coding RNA (2739 nucleotides) under Homo sapiens (human). Its description in RNAcentral is "HSALNT0129288". Lineage: Eukaryota; Metazoa; Chordata; Mammalia; Primates; Hominidae. The record is from RNAcentral.
CUGAGAUGUCUUCUCUGAAUUCACCACACCUGCGUUAAAUGUUUUUCACAGUCGUGCUCAGAGAGCCAGAAUCACAUGGAGAACUUCUGAGAAUUCCAGAUUCCUGGAUGCUGUUCCUGGAGUUUCUGCUUCAGCCUAUCUGGGAAUGGGGCAAGAAGCCUACACUUUUGUUUCAGGUCUGAUCAUCGAUUCUUCCCACACAGCAGGAAAGGAGGCGAUUAUGACCAGAUGUUUCCUGGUAUUUAGCUUCAGAAUGUUUCCUUUUAUGCAUCUGAAACAUUGUCAUUUCUUGGAGACUCUAAUGUGGCUUUAAAAAAAGAGGAUCACUCUGUCCCCAACUGUUACCUGCUCUCCAAGGGAGAGCUCAACCCCAGGAAAUUGGAAGAUCUGGCAACCGAAACCUAAUGAAACUUGAGAUCAACUUGCUGCCACUGAAUAUAACCCUAUGGAGCUGAGGAAAUCACUACUGCCCCCUGUUGGACUCGCAACCCUCAAAGUCAGUAUUAUCAUUAUCCCGAUUUUACAAAUGAAGAAACUGAAGCACAGAGAGGUCAAGUAGUUCACCCAACGUCACCACUAGCCAGUAAGUGGCAGAAAAAGGAUUCACAGCUAAGUGGCCUGACUCUAGAGCCUAUAUUCUUACCUUAAUCUACUCUAGACUAUUCUCAACCUUAAGAUAUUUUAUCUACAUCAAAGCUGCAUUUAAUGCUCAAUUGUUUUUACACAUCUGUAGGCUGCUGUUGCAAAUGUGGGAUGAGGUUUUAUUUUUUUUCUGUCCCUUCUCAUCUGGGCCCUGGGCAAUUGCUUAGAGGUAGAGCUGGUAGCGUUGUCUUCUGCUGCUCCUCACCUGUGCUCCAGAGGACAAAAAUAGGGCAGCCUGCAUCAUUUCUUGCCCAGUUAUUCAACACUUAUUGAUUGCCCGUCUCAGGCAAAGCACUGAAAGGAUUGAAGCUACACAUGACAUAACCCUUGGCCUGGAGGCUCUUACACCUCAUCUGGAUCCAGGGGCAUUUACAGGAGAAGAAGAUGGACAGGCCAGGAGACCAUUAAAAACAGGAAUACUCGACCAGGCAUGGUGGCUCACGUCUGUAAUCUCAGCACUUUGGGAAGCCAAGGUGAGUGGAUCACCUGAGGUCAGGAUUUAGAGACCAGUCUGACCAACAUGAAGAAACCCCAUCUCUACUAAAAAUACAAAAAAUUAGCCAGGCGUGGUGGCACAUGCCUGUAAUCCCAGCUACUCUGGAAGCUGAGGCAGGAGUAUCGCUUGAACCCGGGAGGCGGAGGUUGCGGUGAGCUGAGAUCGCACCGUUGCACUCCAGCCUGAGCAACAAGAGCGAAACUCCAUCUCAAAAACAAAACAACAACAACAAAAAAAAACAAAAACAAAAACAGGAAUACUCACCUCCAGCCCUGUUUGGCUACAUGCUUCAUUUCUCUUACUCUAUCCCUGAAUCACUGGAGUGCUAGGAAAAGUGACCACCUUCGUGCAUCUCCUUUUCUACCUAAAAAAUGUAGCUUCCUUGAUUUUUUUUUGGGUCGGGGGAUUGUUUGUUAGCGUGAAAGUGGUUUAAGAUCUAAGGCAAAAUAACAAAGUGUUAUUAUCUGAGUACACAGCACACACUGCCCUUUCAAAACUGUUGCCUGUAGACUUACUGCACAGAGCAAAGCCCUCUGGGAACAAGCACUUACAAUGAAAAAUGGCUUAUUAUCAUAAUGGAGUAUUCAAUUACUUCCUCUGAUGAGAGGUGGAGGGGUUUCUAAAUUCAUUGUAUUAAUUUAGAGUUUAGGGGAGGGAAAUAAUUAAAAAUGUAGGCCACCUAUGGGUGCUACAUAAUGUGGAUGAUAUAGUGUUGUUAUAAUGGGAAUAUGAUACAUUUUAUUUAUACAGUCUCUAGCUACAAAGAGUGUAUUAGGUAUUUUGCAGUGGGGCUUGGAAGCCUAAAACAAACAAGAUUAAAAUCAGCAAUAAAGCAGAUCGGGAGAAGCCAGUGAAAUUCAGCAAUAAAUUUGAUGCAAAGCCAAUGUGAUAUGCCAAAGGCCUUUUAGAAUUUGCUGUGGGCUGAUGAUUAUGUUUUCUUAGUUUAGUGAUAUGGGAGGAUAUAGAAGGUAGGGUUGAUGACUGUGAAGGAGAGGUCAGCCAGGGAGCACUUCCUAUUGCAGGAAGAACAAUUCCAACUUUGUGGAGGAGAAUAGAAUAUUCAUGGCCUAAAGGUUUUUGUGAAAAUGUGUGUGUGUGUGUGUGUGUGUGUGUGUAACUCUCCACAGUCACUCAUUCCUGUGUGAUUCAUAAGUCUUAUAGUCAGGAAAUCCUUUCUCCAUAACCCCAUAUCAUUUUGUGGGGUUUCCCACUCAUGUUUUCUUUUAUUUCUUCCAGUCCCAUGCUCAGCCUUCAAUCUUUUAAAACCUCCAGACUCCUGUAACAAUUACUCCUGGUAUUCCUCAUGUUAAUAUAGCAGAGCAUACUAGACAGAAAUAAGGCCCAGGAGAGGAGAAUGCAUACUUAAUAGUCAUAUGGGGUUCACUGGGUCCAAUCUCAGUGUAAUAACACUUAGCAAAAUUUCUCGGAAUUCUAUGAAAAUGGCAGCAAAGAUUUGCUGAGAAAGGCUGCAUGUACUGUCUAUUUUUCUCCAUGCACUUACAUUAAACAUACCCUAAAGCAUAUCUUCUAAGGCCCUGGCAAAAACCCUUAACCCAUGUGUUGACGAGAAUGGUUCUGGUCUAGCUUGUGCCCUACUUUAU